This 900-nucleotide ribosomal RNA is filed under the name Tylenchulus semipenetrans. RNAcentral describes it as "SSU rRNA". The record is from RNAcentral. Lineage: Eukaryota; Metazoa; Nematoda; Chromadorea; Rhabditida; Tylenchulidae.
CCGCGACGGCUCAUUAUAACAGCUAUGAUUUACUUGAUCUUGAACAGUUACUCGGAUAACUGUGGUAAUUCUAGAGCUAAUACGUGCACCGAAGCUACCUCUUGCGGGGUAGUGCAUUUAUUGGAGCAAAACCAAGCGGCUUCGGCCGUUUUUGCUGACUCAGAAUAACUAAGCUGAUCGUAUGGGCUUGUCCCGACGACGUGUCUUUCAAGUGUCUGCCUUAUCAACUUUCGAUGGUAGUGUACGUGACUACCAUGGUGUUGACGGGUAACGGAGGAUAAGGGUUCGACUCCGGAGAAGGGGCCUGAGAAAUGGCCACUACGUCUAAGGAUGGCAGCAGGCGCGCAAAUUACCCACUCUCGGCACGAGGAGGUAGUGACGAAAAAUAACGAGACCGUUCUCUACGAGGCCGGUCAUCGGAAUGGGUACAACUCAAACCCUUUAACGAGUAUCAAUGAGAGGGCAAGUCUGGUGCCAGCAGCCGCGGUAAUUCCAGCUCUCAAAAUGCAUAGAAUCAUUGCUGCGGUUAAAAAGCUCGUAGUUGGAUCUGUGCUGGCGACGUGGUCCACCUUAACGGGUGGUACUGCGCUCGUCGGCUUUGGGCYGGUCUUCGGUCGGUCGCCUUCACUGGUGGCUGCUCGUGGCUGGCUGGUUUACUUUGAGCAAAUCGGAGUGCUCAGCACAGGCGUAUCGCCGGAACGUUCGUGCAUGGAAUAAUAGAAAAGGAUCACGGUCCUUUUUAUUGGUUUUAAGGACUGAGAUAAUGGUUAACAGAGACGAACGGGGGCAUUCGUAUUGCUGCGUUAGAGGUGAAAUUCUUGGACCGCAGCAGGACGGACUACAGCGAAAGCAUUUGCCAAGCGCGUCUUCAUUAAUCAAGAACGAAAGUCAGAGGUUCGA